This 116-nucleotide ribosomal RNA is filed under the name Pseudescherichia vulneris (CDC Enteric Group 1). Lineage: Bacteria; Pseudomonadati; Pseudomonadota; Gammaproteobacteria; Enterobacterales; Enterobacteriaceae. The record is from RNAcentral. RNAcentral also lists the same sequence under 34 other names.
CCUGGCGGCACUAGCGCGGUGGUCCCACCUGACCCCAUGCCGAACUCAGAAGUGAAACGCCGUAGCGCCGAUGGUAGUGUGGGGCCUCCCCAUGCGAGAGUAGGGAACUGCCAGGC